Molecule: ribosomal RNA, 429 nt
Filed under: Pseudomonadota bacterium
Lineage: Bacteria; Pseudomonadati; Pseudomonadota
Description: Proteobacteria bacterium partial 16S ribosomal RNA
Rfam family: Bacterial small subunit ribosomal RNA
Source: RNAcentral
UGGGGAAUAUUGGACAAUGGGCGAAAGCCUGAUCCAGCCAUGCCGCGUGUGUGAAGAAGGUCUUCGGAUUGUAAAGCACUUUAAGUUGGGAGGAAGGGCAGUAAGCGAAUACCUUGCUGUUUUGACGUUACCGACAGAAUAAGCACCGGCUAACUCUGUGCCAGCAGCCGCGGUAAUACAGAGGGUGCAAGCGUUAAUCGGAAUUACUGGGCGUAAAGCGCGCGUAGGUGGUUCGUUAAGUUGAAUGUGAAAGCCCCGGGCUCAACCUGGGAACUGCAUCCAAAACUGGCGAGCUAGAGUAGGGCAGAGGGUGGUCGAAUUUCCUGUGUAGCGGAGAAAUGCGUAGAUAUAGGAAGGAACACCAGUGGCGAAGGCGACCACCUGGGCUCAUACUGACACUGAGGUGCGAAAGCGUGGGGAGCAAACAGG